RNAcentral lists this long non-coding RNA (210 nucleotides) under Vicia faba (fava bean). The record is from RNAcentral. Lineage: Eukaryota; Viridiplantae; Streptophyta; Magnoliopsida; Fabales; Fabaceae.
AUGGCUUAUAUCUUCAAUGUAGCAAAUUCUCUUUCUUUAGGCUUUUUCAUUCGAAUGAUAAUUGCAUUUACUUUGUUUAUGGAGUUGGCUUCAGUUAGUGCAGAUAUAAAUAUGAGGAAAUUGGGAAACUCACCAAAUCCACCUCCUCCACCAAUACGUAGCUGGCCCUCUAGGCCAUCACGUCCAGACCCAAGUCACCCUCCACACUAA